AACGAACGUUGAUGGCGUGCCUCAUACAUGCAAGUCGAGCGCCCCGCAAGGGGAGCGGCGAACGGGUGAGUAACACGUAAAGAAUCUGCCCUGAAGCGGGGAAUAACUAUCCCAACGGAUAGCUAAUACCGCAUAACGAUGGAGGUGGCAUCACCUCUUCUCAAAAGGCUUCGGCCACUUCAGGAUGACUUUGCGUCCCAUUAGCUUGUUGGCGGUGUAACGGACCACCAAGGCGACGAUGGGUAUCCGGCCUGAGAGGGUGUACGGACACAUUGGGACUGAGAUACGGCCCAGACUCCUACGGGAGGCAGCAGUAGGGAAUUUUGCGCAAUGGAGGAAACUCUGACGCAGCAACGCCAUGUGUGGGAUGAAGCAUUUCGGUGUGUAAACCACUGUCAGCAGGGAAUAAAUGGUCUCUUCGGAGGCAGUUGAAUGUACCUGCAAAGGAAGCCCCGGCUAACUUCGUGCCAGCCGCCGCCGUAAAAC
Molecule: ribosomal RNA, 486 nt
Filed under: uncultured bacterium
Lineage: Bacteria
Description: bacterial SSU rRNA
Rfam family: Bacterial small subunit ribosomal RNA
Source: RNAcentral